This 316-nucleotide ribosomal RNA is filed under the name uncultured bacterium. RNAcentral's name for it is "bacterial SSU rRNA". It matches the Rfam family "Bacterial small subunit ribosomal RNA", at positions 585 to 897 of the family's 1533-position model. The record is from RNAcentral.
AAGUCAGAGGUGAAAUCCCACAGCUCAACUGUAGAACUGCCUUUGAUACUGAUAGACUUGAGUUAUUGUGAAGUGAUUAGAAUGUGUGGUGUAGCGGUGAAAUGCAUAGAUAUCACACAGAAUACCGAUGGCGAAGGCAGACCACUAACAAUAUACUGACGCUCAUGGACGAAAGCGUGGGGAGCGAACAGGAUUAGAUACCCUGGUAGUCCACGCCGUAAACGAUGGAUACUAGCUGUUGGGCUAACAUUGGUUAGAUGAGUGGCUAAAAGAAAGUGAUAAGUAUCCCACCUGGGGAGUACGGUCGCAAGAAUAA